Molecule: long non-coding RNA, 4739 nt
Filed under: Sus scrofa (pig)
Lineage: Eukaryota; Metazoa; Chordata; Mammalia; Artiodactyla; Suidae
Description: lncRNA (ENSSSCG00000055483.1)
Source: RNAcentral
CACUGGGCCCAAAGUCCCCCGACUCUCAGGAUCCCAAGUGUGGGGACCCAAGGUUCUAUGGCCUCAAUGUUGUCCAGGCUUUGCCCCCAAGAGCCACUUUUUCCCAGGACCUGCAAUUGGCCAUGCUGUAUACCACCUCUCAGGGCAUGUCCCACUCUAAGGGGCUCCUUGCAUAGCUUACAGCAUUGCUCAUCAGAUGGGGUGGUGACAUUCUGCUGACAGAUAUUAAAGCUGUUCUGGUUUCACUCCCAGAAGCACCUGUCAGCAGAGUUUUGACCAACUCCCAAGUCCUCCUGCACUGUCCCAGGGGAGCUGCUUGCCAGAUGAUGCUGGUGAUGCUGCUGAGGCAAGAGCCUAGUGGUGUCUCACCUCUGCAUCUGUCAGUGAGGUCCCCUUAGGGAACAGGUGUCUCACUCAAGUUGGGAUCAUUCAGUAAGGGCUUGUUUCCAAAAGAGCUGUUGGGAUGGGUGGGGGAUGGUAGGGGAACCACAGGAGUGGUCACUAACAAGCAGCUGUUACCAUCCCUGGGCCCUGCAUUUGGGGGUGGGGAUGGAGAACAAGCUUGAAAGAAAAGUCACUUCUUAACAGUGCCCUUUGGUCAAGGGCACAGACAGGUAGAAAUGACCUGCCUCCUCUGCUCUGAUAUCCUGCCCAGGCUCCUCAUGGACGGAACUCAACCAGGAGGCAGUGACAGAGUCCAUCCAGAUAGCUCAGCCUCCCAGGGAAGAAGGGGUAGGAGCUCAAGGAACAUGUGGAACACAUCUAGGACCAGGAUCCCCUCAUUUUCUCUUCAUUUUGUAUGUGACCCCAUCAAAUUUCACUCCCAAGAAUUGGCUAAAAGGCUGUUUCUUCAUUCUGUGCAUGUAUGAUCUAUUGCCCUGCUGCAGAUUAGUCUAAAAGUUACAGCUUAGCAUUCUGUCAGUUUUUGCAGAUCAGGAAUCCAAGGCAGCUAAGCUGGGUGGUUCUGGCUUAGGGCAGCUCAGGGUGUUGCAGUCAUCUGAAGGCUUGACUGUGGCUGGAGGAUCUGUUCCCAAGGCACCUGGCACACACUUCUGGUGAGGUGUGACCAGCUCACCCUGGUUUUCCCAGGACUGUUGAUGUACUGGAUAUGACUCCUGUGACUUUCUACAUUGGAGGAGUUGACUGUUCAAAUAGACCUGAUGGCCCUCAGAUCCUAAAAUGUUUAGAAUCUGUUGCUUUCCAGAAGACUUGCCAACCCUUGACACACGACCAUGCUAAGAAUCACUCCAGAGGAGAUGCAACAGUGUGGUGCAAAGACCCCCCCCAAAUGCCUCUCAGGACUGAGCUAAGCCCAUUCCAUGCAUUCUGGGUCAUAUACUGAGUCUCCGGAUGUCACCUGGCUAGGGCUUCCAAAGCUCUGAAGCCUGGUCAUCCUAAAUCCAUGCUAUAGUGCACAUCAGACAGGUGCUACCAGAUGUAGCAUGAUAUUCAAGAAACCUCUUUAAGUCAGAUGGUGCUGGUGGCCUGCCCAUGUCCCCUGGCUUUCUCUACUUCAGUGUACUCAAGCCCAACUUUAAUCGCACUGAUGACUCUCCAUCUGGAGCUUUCUCUGGCUGUUGAAACCCGGCACACAGCAGCCUAGGAUGGGGCAGGGAGUAAACAUCACAGGGAGCAGCCCUCAGCCAGUAAAUAACAGAGGCUGAUGUCAGAAAACCCCAGCUGCCUAGAUCCUCAUGUUCUCCAAAUGCCCCACAGUGGUGAUGGGUUUGGUAACUUAUGGGCUGCCUUUCUUCUUUUGUCUCCUUUCUCAAACUUUGUCAGUAUUUUCCCACUCACCUCCCAAAUGCCUUCCUCUCAUCUUUUAUCUUGGGGGUCCUUCGCACACGACCCAACCUAGGACACUGGGCCCCUCAACCUGGGGUAGCCUGAAAGUCUGAGACCUGGCACGGACAGCUGAUACCAAUGUCUGAUCUUGCCACUUAGCUGUUGUGACUUUGGUUAGAAAGCAGAAUGAGUUUGCCUGGUUUUCAUCUAUAGAAUAGGAAUACCCCAUCAUGAAAUCCUGAUUGACUGAGACUAAUUAGACUAGUUAGAAAACCUGCCCCCGACCACCACCACCAAGUUCUUUUGCUAUGACUCCCCCGACUCUGGACUCCUGCCUGGAGUCCUCUGCCUUUGCUCCUGCUCUGCACACAAUAACUGCCACCACUUUGCCUCCUGCUGUUGGUGCUGCAGGUCAAGAUCACCGACCUGCAGGUGAUGAGUGGGUCUAUCAAGAACAAGGAUGAGAAAAUAGCCCCUGACAUUUGCUCCAUCUGGAAGAUCCUGAGACUUGUGCUUUCCUACCUCUAUGGGGCAAGUAGCUGUAACUGGCAAGCAUACAGUUCUCUGGGAUUCAAGAUACCAAACUGGCGGGGGGCGUUCCUGUUGUGGCUCAGUGGUAAUGAACCCGAUUAGUAUCCAUGAGGAUGCAGGAUCAAUCCCUGGCCUCGCUCAGGGGAUUAAAGGAUCCUGUAUUGUUGUGUGCUGUGUUGUAGGCAGACAUGGUGUGGAUAUGGCGUAGGCCAGCAGCUGCAGCUCCAGCUCAACCCCUAGCCUGGGAACUUCCAUGUGCCAGGGUGUGGCCCUAAAAAGCCCCCCCCCCAAAAAAGAUAGGAGUGGGCUUAAGAGAGGUUCUUUGGCUGCCUGAGCCUGAGGGCAAGUCAAUCUGCCAAAUUUAUCAUCACGUUUCCAGGUCUGAUGAUGUCAAGUCUACUGGUGUUCUUCCUCAGAAGCAGCAGUGGAGGGGCAUUCCAGGGGUUUCAGAACCCAGUAGAGAGAUACCUGCAAGCCAGGGGCGUAGCUGGUAUGUCUAGAAUAUAAUAUGCCUUAACUGAAUUCUUGAAUUGUGGGGAUCUUACUCAUUUUAUUCUGGUGGAUGCUGACCUAACAUUGCUCCAUGGCUUGAACUCUGAUGGGUAGAACUGCAAAAUGUCAUCUUGGCACUAAGGGUGACAGUCCAUCCCUGGGGCUAGGGUGAGGGCUACAGAGAAAGGGGGGUGGGUGAUAAUGGUCUCUCCUAGUAGGAAACAUUAGAACUAAUUAAGGAUGCAGGAUAGGACCUUCAAAGGUGGAUGGAUAAAGUAAGAGACCAGAUGAGAAUUCUAGGUAGGAUAUACUCCAGGAAGGAUUUCUGUAGGUGAAGAAUGUCAAGCAAGGCUGAGAGAGAAGGAUGGAACCAGGGAGAAAGGCAUGCUGGCAGGAAGAGGACGGCAAAAGUUUUUAUGAAGAAGCAUUUCGGAACCUCAGGAAGACUUUGGAGGAUGAUUGGAUAGUCAAAUAAGGCAUGUGGCUUUCAAAUCAGUCUUGGGUUUGAAUUUGACCCAACCACUCAUGAGCAGAGAGAGCUAGGGCAAUGUUUAUGAUUUCCACUCUACUCAUCAGUUUUUUAAAAAAAAUAUAUAUAUAUAUAUAUAAAGUGGGAAUUCAUAACUACCCCCCAAGGGGGUUUUGAAAGGAUUACAGCAGCCAACAUGGGUUGACUGUCCAGCAUGGUGCCUGGUGCAUUACAGAUGAACAGGAAGUGUGCCAUUAUUGGUCUGUGUGUGACCUGAGGAAGACGGGUGAGUGUUUCUGCACAGCCCUGACAGUAGAAAUUAUAGGAAGGCAGACUAGUUUGGCUUUAGAAGGAAUUCUCUGGCUUUCAGGGCUGUGUGAAUAAAGAAUGGGGGUCGGGGGUCCUCCUCCAUUAUUGGAGCAGCUGCAGGCUCACUCUUUGGCGGGCCUGCUGUCAAGGGUUUUGAGACUGCCUUGGAUGGGUGGUCUGAUGAGAAAACUGUGGUGACUCCAAACUGAGUGAUGUGCGUGAAUCUUGAUUUUUGGAGAUGCUGAGGGGAUCCUGUUCUAACCAAAAGCUCUGAAAACAAUUUUGUUUCUAAAUCUCUUCCUGUUUGAGCCUUGUAUCUUACUGCCUGAUCAAGGAUUUUCAUUAGAAGAAGUGAAGUAGAUAAUAGGUAUGAAAAAUGUUUUGACCUCCUUUAAGAUAGUUGCUGGAAUGUAAUUUCAUUUUAUUACAAAUUGAGAUUCUGUGAGGUAGUCAUGCCCAACCUAGACAUGUUCUUGAACCUGAGCAAAUUUAAUCAUUUAAAUGCACUGGGAGAGAGCUUGCUGUUUAAUUCACACUGGAGGAUGAUUCUUGUGGAAAAGGAUUCAUAGCAACAUGGCUGGAUUUGUAUAUACUGGACUUAAAGUGACUUGUGAACACCAUUUUCCAAAUACGUAUUGUAAAAUGAAAGUUGUGUUCUUGUGAGGGUGAGGGGAUCUUUAGGAUCAUUAGGAAAGGACAUACAGCAUGCCAUGUAGAUCCUGACAUCUCCCUAAAAGGUCUUGCCUGUGCCUUCACUAGCUCAUCCUCUGGGUUGUGCAAAUCUAAUGUGAUACCAACUGAGGCAGAACCUGGGAUUCCUCCCACUUCCCUUGGACCUUUAGAGUAUCAGGACUGACUUCCAACUGUCCUAUCAACAUCUCUGUGCCUAAGAGCUUUUGCUGAAAUUACAGGGCAAUUGACAUCCCUCAAGGAGUUCCUGUUGUGGCUCAGUGGUAAUGAACCUGACUAGUAUCCAUGAGGACUUGGGUUUGAUCUCCAGCCUCACUCAGUGGGUUAAGGAUACAGUGUUGCCAUGGGCUGUGGGGUAGGUCACAGGCAAGGCUUGGACCCCUCAUAGCUGUGGCUGUGGCUGUGGUUGGUGGCUGCAGCUCUGAUUGGACCCCUAGCCUGGGAACUUCCAUAUGCUGCAGGA